RNAcentral lists this ribosomal RNA (1872 nucleotides) under seawater metagenome. Its description in RNAcentral is "bacterial LSU rRNA". It matches the Rfam family "Bacterial large subunit ribosomal RNA", at positions 1 to 1996 of the family's 2925-position model. The record is from RNAcentral.
UCAAGCGUUACAAGGGCGUUUAGUGGAUGCCUUGGCGCGUAGAGGCGACGAAAGACGUGGUACGCUGCGAAAAGCUCGGGUGAGGUGCGAACAACCUUUGACCCCGAGAUCUCUGAAUGGGGAAACCCACCUUUACAGACCCUGAUAAUUAUCCUCAGUAAUGAGGGUGGUUUAUCAAGGUUUGUGUUAGGUAUUGAUAACUGAAUAUAUAGGUUAUUAAAGCAAACCCGGGGAACUGAAACAUCUCAGUACCCGGAGGAAAGGACAUCAACCGAGACUCCGUUAGUAGUGGCGAGCGAACGCGGAUCAGGCCAGUGGCUAUUUUAAACUAAUCUGAAUGUGUUGGGAAACACAGCCAUAGUGGGUGACAGCCCCGUAAGAGUGUUGUUUAAUUUAGUCCUCGAGUAGGGCGGGACACGUGAAAUCCUGUCUGAACAUGGGGGGACCAUCCUCCAAGCCUAAGUACUCCUACGCGACCGAUAGUGAACAAGUACCGUGAGGGAAAGGUGAAAAGCACCCCGACGAGGGGAGUGAAACAGUUCCUGAAACUGGACGUCUACAAGCUGUAGAAGCCACCUUGCGUGGCGACUGCGUACCUUUUGUAUAAUGGGUCAGCGACUUGGUCUAACUAGCAAGCUUAAGCCGAUAGGUGUAGGCGUAGCGAAAGCGAGUGUUAAUAGCGCGUCGAGUUAGUUGGAUCAGACCCGAAACCAGGUGAUCUAGUCAUGUGCAGGUUGAAGGUGAGGUAACACUCACUGGAGGACCGAACCCACCUAUGUUGAAAAAUGGGGGGAUGACGUGUGACUAGGGGUGAAAGGCCAAUCAAACCUGGAGAUAGCUGGUUCUCCGCGAAAUCUAUUUAGGUAGAGCGUCGAAUGAAUACCCUCGGGGGUAGAGCACUGGAUGGGCUAGGGGGACUCACCGUCUUACCAAACCUAACCAAACUCCGAAUACCGAGGAGUAAUAUUCGGCAGACACACUACGGGUGCUAAGGUCCGUAGUGGAAAGGGAAACAGCCCUGACCGCCGUCUAAGGUCCCUAAGUAAUAACUAAGUGGUAAAGAAUGUGAGAAUGCUUAGACAACCAGGAGGUUGGCUUAGAAGCAGCCAUCCUUUAAAGAUAGCGUAACAGCUCACUGGUCAAGCGUUCCUGCGUCGAAAAUGUACCGGGGCUUAAGUUAUUCACCGAAGACGCGGAUGCACACUUUUGUGUGCGUGGUAGCGGAGCGUUCCGUAAGCCUGUGAAGGGGUCCUGCGAGGGGCCUUGGAGGUAUCGGAAGUGAGAAUGCUGACAUGAGUAACGAUAAAAGGGGUGAGAGACCCCUUCGCCGAAAGAUCAAGGUUUCCUGCGCAAUGCUAAUCAGCGCAGGGUUAGCCGGCCCCUAAGGCAAGGCCGAAAGGCGUAGUCGAUGGGAACUCAGUUUAAUAUUACUGGGCCAUUGGGUGGUGACGGAUGACGUGUAUCGUAUUUCCUUAUUGGAUUGGAAGUGCGGUGAAGUUGUCCCAGGAAAUAGCCCCCAUUUAAGACCGUACCCCAAACCGACACAGGUGAUCAGGUAGAAGAUACCAAGGCGCUUGAGAGAACUCUGCUGAAGGAACUCGGCAAAUUACCUCCGUAACUUCGGGAGAAGGAGGCCCACCAUAAAGGCAACUUUUUGGUGGGGGCACAGACCAGGGGGUGGCGACUGUUUAUUAAAAACAUAGGGCUCUGCGAAGUCGUAAGACGACGUAUAGGGUCUGACGCCUGCCCGGUGCUGGAAGGUUAAAAGGAGGAGUGCAAGCUCCGAAUUGAAGCCCCAGUAAACGGCGGCCGUAACAAUAACGGUCCUAAGGUAGCGAAAUUCCUUGUCGGGUAAGUUCCGACCUGCACGAA